GAUGAAGAACGCAGCGAAAUGCGAUAAGUAAUGCGAAUUGCAGAAUUCCAGUGAGUCAUCGAAUCUUUGAACGCACAUUGCGCCCUCUGGUAUUCCGGGGGGCAUGCCUGUCCGAGCGUCAUUUGCAACCCUCAAGCCCGGCUUGUGUGAUGGGUGCCGUCCCCUACGGGACGCGCCCCGAAGGCAAUGGCGGCGUCGCGGUUAUCCGAUCAGCCAAAGUGUAUGGGGCUUUGUCACUCACUUUACGGCCCGGACCGGCGCCAGUCCGAAUCAAUCUUUUUUCUAAAGUUGACCUCGGAUCAGGUAGGGAUACCCGCUGAACUUAAGCAUAUCAAUAAGCGGAGGA
This 346-nucleotide unclassified non-coding RNA is filed under the name soil metagenome. RNAcentral describes it as "partial contains 5.8S ribosomal RNA, internal transcribed spacer 2, and large subunit ribosomal RNA". The stretch from base 1 to 121 matches the Rfam family "5.8S ribosomal RNA", at positions 35 to 154 of the family's 154-position model. The record is from RNAcentral.